RNAcentral lists this long non-coding RNA (324 nucleotides) under Triticum aestivum (bread wheat). RNAcentral describes it as "long non-coding RNA (TAES_LNC013121)". The record is from RNAcentral. Lineage: Eukaryota; Viridiplantae; Streptophyta; Magnoliopsida; Poales; Poaceae.
CUAAUUCCCACUUGGUACUACUAAAUACAUGAACAUGACUAAUCUAUCCGACCUUUCCAAGGCCUAUUCCAUCUCAUAUUUUGCACAGCGAAAGCUGCACAUGCAUUAUCUGUUCCUAUGCCUGCAGACGGAAGGGACUGAAUGCGGAUAUGAGAGUUCCAACAUUCAUCCAACUGUCGGUAAGUAACAUUCAUCCAACUGUCGGUAAGUUCAGUUCCUCAUCCGGUGCAUGCUGUCACCAGUGACUUGUAAGUUGUAACCCUGCCACCUUCCUAUCUCACUGAAAGAAAAGCAACAUGGAGGACAGAUGAGAUUCAAGUUUUG